This is a small nuclear RNA of Suncus etruscus (white-toothed pygmy shrew), 104 nucleotides long. The record is from RefSeq and is a predicted model, not a curated record. NCBI's taxonomy places the organism in Eukaryota, Metazoa, Chordata, Mammalia, Eulipotyphla, Soricidae.
GUGCUUACUUUGGCAGCACAUAUUCUAAGAUUGGAAUGCUACAGAGAAGAUUAGCAUGCCUCCCCAAAAAUAAAAUCUUGUAGAAAGACCUGAAUAUAUUACAU